RNAcentral lists this ribosomal RNA (37 nucleotides) under Aspergillus flavus. RNAcentral describes it as "partial 28S ribosomal RNA". The record is from RNAcentral. Lineage: Eukaryota; Fungi; Ascomycota; Eurotiomycetes; Eurotiales; Aspergillaceae.
UACCCGCUGAACUUAAGCAUAUCAUAGGCCGGAGGAA